This 33-nucleotide ribosomal RNA is filed under the name Eunicella cavolini. RNAcentral's name for it is "Eunicella cavolinii partial 28S ribosomal RNA". Lineage: Eukaryota; Metazoa; Cnidaria; Anthozoa; Malacalcyonacea; Eunicellidae. The record is from RNAcentral.
UUAACGUCAGAUCAGGCAAGAUUACCCGCUGAA